RNAcentral lists this ribosomal RNA (253 nucleotides) under uncultured bacterium. RNAcentral describes it as "partial 16S ribosomal RNA". It matches the Rfam family "Bacterial small subunit ribosomal RNA", at positions 524 to 776 of the family's 1533-position model. The record is from RNAcentral.
UACGUAGGGAGCAAGCGUUGUCCGGAAUCAUUGGGCGUAAAGCGUGCGCAGGCGGUUCUAUAAGACAGAUGUGAAAUCCCCGGGCUCAACCUGGGAACUGCAUUUGUGACUGUAGAGCUGGAGUACGGUAGAGGGGGAUGGAAUUCCGCGUGUAGCAGUGAAAUGCGUAGAUAUGCGGAGGAACACCGAUGGCGAAGGCAAUCCCCUGGACCUGUACUGACGCUCAUGCACGAAAGCGUGGGGAGCAAACAGG